RNAcentral lists this ribosomal RNA (253 nucleotides) under uncultured bacterium. RNAcentral's name for it is "partial 16S ribosomal RNA". It matches the Rfam family "Bacterial small subunit ribosomal RNA", at positions 524 to 776 of the family's 1533-position model. The record is from RNAcentral.
UACAGAGGGGGCAAGCGUUGUUCGGAAUUACUGGGCGUAAAGGGCGCGUAGGCGGCCUGUUAAGUCGAACGUGAAAUCCCCGGGCUCAACCCGGGAACUGCGUCCGAUACUGGCAGGCUUGAAUUCGGGAGAGGGAUGUGGAAUUCCAGGUGUAGCGGUGAAAUGCGUAGAUAUCUGGAGGAACACCGGUGGCGAAGGCGGCAUCCUGGACCGGCAUUGACGCUGAGGCGCGAAAGCCAGGGGAGCAAACGGG